GAUGAACGCUGGCGGCGUGCCUAAUACAUGCCAGUCGAGCGAACAGAUAAGGAGCUUUCUCCUUUGACGUUAGCGGCGGACGGGUGAGUAACACUUGGGUAACCUACCUAUAAGACUGGAAUAACUCCGGGAAACCGGGGCUAAUGCCGGAUAACAUUUAGAACCUCAUGCUUCUAAAGUGAAAUAUGGUUUUGCUAUCACUUAUAGAUGAACCCGCGCCGUAUUAGCUAGUUGGGAAGGUAACUGCUUACCAAGGCAACGAUACGUACCCGACCUGAAAGGGACAUCGACCAGACGGGAAGUGAGAAAGGCCCGAGACACCGACGGGAGGACGCAGUAGGGAAUCUUACGCAAGGGGGGAAAGCCUGAUGGAGCAAAGCGGCGGGAGUGCUGAAGGUCUUAGGAUCGUAAAACGAUGUUAUUAGGAAAGAAGAAAUAUGUAUGUAACUGUGCAGGUAUUGACGGUACCUAAUGAAAAAGCCACGGCUAACUACGUG
RNAcentral lists this ribosomal RNA (497 nucleotides) under uncultured bacterium. RNAcentral's name for it is "partial 16S ribosomal RNA". It matches the Rfam family "Bacterial small subunit ribosomal RNA", at positions 28 to 507 of the family's 1533-position model. The record is from RNAcentral.